CCAUGAGUAAAGUGGCGCACGGGUGAGUAACACGUGACUAACCUACCCUUGAGUGGGGAUAACCUAGAGAAAUCUGGGCUAAUACCGCAUAAUACCUUCGGGUCAAAGGAGCAAUUCGCUUAAGGAGGGGGUCGCGGCCGAUUAGUUAGUUGGCGGGGUAAUGGCCCACCAAGACUGUGAUCGGUAUCCGGCCUGAGAGGGCGCACGGCCACACUGGAACUGAAACACGGUCCAG
RNAcentral lists this ribosomal RNA (235 nucleotides) under uncultured bacterium. Its description in RNAcentral is "partial 16S ribosomal RNA". It matches the Rfam family "Bacterial small subunit ribosomal RNA", at positions 84 to 334 of the family's 1533-position model. The record is from RNAcentral.